Triplophysa rosa is the source of this 997-nucleotide long non-coding RNA. RefSeq lists it as uncharacterized. Lineage: Eukaryota; Metazoa; Chordata; Actinopteri; Cypriniformes; Nemacheilidae. The transcript is spliced from 3 exons. The record is from RefSeq and is a predicted model, not a curated record.
ACCACGUUGUAGAGCCGGCAGUCUUGUAGCGAAGUCUGUUGAUCAUGAGUGAAGGCUCCGAAGAACAAAAGGCGCAUGCGCAAGGCUGCAAGGCUUGUUUGGCCGACAUGGAUUUUUCACUUCUCCUGAUAGAUUGGCUGAGCACAACUUACUUGAUAUGUUCGGUGAAUAUAUAUACAGUAUUUCAUUUUAACCUCAGACCUGAAGUUAUAAUUACCUCGAUGCAUAUUUUCAUUUGAGGAUUAUCAAUUGGUAGCUGUUUGUUGAGUCAAUAUUUAUUUUUCAGUUUGUACAAUUCUUCAAAAUAUAUAUUUUUUUACAGUGCAGUGAGUACUGGAAGCUGUAACUAGUAAAUCAUUUAUUUUGAUGAUGCGAAAGCCAGUACAAAACACACUGCAUGGGUAGCCACUGUUGUUUCUUGUCCACGACAUGAAAAUAAUUUUGAUGUCAUAAUCAAAUAAUCUGACACAGUGACAAAAUAUUUACACACCACAACACCUCAACUAUGAUGACGAUCAAAACUAAACUAACCCUCAAGUAGAUCUCGAGGAGGAUUUAUUCCCUAUUGUGGUUUAUGUUCGAAAAAAAUAAGUAGUUGUUUAAUUCUUCCACUUGUUUUCUCUUUCUUUUUACUAUCUUGCUGUUCUGGGCAACCAAAUGAAGAGACUAGUGUCUUCUGUAGUGUACCCUUGGGAUUUUACAUUCUGGGUAGCAUGUUUAUGCUAAUUGGAUCAAAGUACAUUGCAGGACAGAAAUAGAAUUGAAUCUUUCUACAUUUCAGAAGAUGGGAGACAAAAGCUAAAAAUCUUCUUCAGAAAUAUCUAUGAGGAUCUUCAUGAUUGUGGCGCAGGAAGUUUUACAUUGUAUGGGUGACACUUCAAAAAUUUAAUGAAACAAUAAUUAUAGUGCACUUUGUAGUAAAUUUAGCUGUUUUGAGUAUUAACAGCAAGGAAAUUGUGUCAUAUAGUGUACAGUAUAUGAAUAUAAAAUAAAACUA